RNAcentral lists this ribosomal RNA (1461 nucleotides) under Synechococcus sp. BO 0014. RNAcentral's name for it is "16S ribosomal RNA". It matches the Rfam family "Bacterial small subunit ribosomal RNA". Lineage: Bacteria; Bacillati; Cyanobacteriota; Cyanophyceae; Synechococcales; Synechococcaceae. The record is from RNAcentral.
UCAGGAUGAACGCUGGCGGCGUGCUUAACACAUGCAAGUCGAACGAGCCUUCGGGCUAGUGGCGGACGGGUGAGUAACGCGUGGGAAUCUGCCCUCAGGAGGGGGAUAACGGCCGGAAACGGCCGCUAAUACCCCAUAUGCCGAGAGGUGAAACGAAUUUCGCCUGGGGAUGAGCCCGCGUCUGAUUAGCUAGUUGGUGAGGUAAUGGCCCACCAAGGCUUCGAUCAGUAGCUGGUCUGAGAGGAUGAUCAGCCACACUGGGACUGAGACACGGCCCAGACUCCUACGGGAGGCAGCAGUGGGGAAUUUUCCGCAAUGGGCGCAAGCCUGACGGAGCAACGCCGCGUGAGGGACGAAGGCCUCUGGGCUGUAAACCUCUUUUCUCAAGGAAGAAGACAUGACGGUACUUGAGGAAUAAGCCACGGCUAAUUCCGUGCCAGCAGCCGCGGUAAUACGGGAGUGGCAAGCGUUAUCCGGAAUUAUUGGGCGUAAAGCGUCCGCAGGCGGCCUUGAAAGUCUGUUGUUAAAGCGUGGAGCUCAACUCCAUUUAAGCAAUGGAAACUACAAGGCUAGAGUGUGGUAGGGGCAGAGGGAAUUCCCGGUGUAGCGGUGAAAUGCGUAGAUAUCGGGAAGAACACCAGUGGCGAAGGCGCUCUGCUGGGCCAUAACUGACGCUCAUGGACGAAAGCCAGGGGAGCGAAAGGGAUUAGAUACCCCUGUAGUCCUGGCCGUAAACGAUGAACACUAGGUGUCGGAAGAAUUAACCCUUUCGGUGUCGUAGCCAACGCGUUAAGUGUUCCGCCUGGGGAGUACGCACGCAAGUGUGAAACUCAAAGGAAUUGACGGGGGCCCGCACAAGCGGUGGAGUAUGUGGUUUAAUUCGAUGCAACGCGAAGAACCUUACCAGGGUUUGACAUCCUGCGAAUCCCUUGGAAACGGGGGAGUGCCUUCGGGAACGCAGUGACAGGUGGUGCAUGGCUGUCGUCAGCUCGUGUCGUGAGAUGUUGGGUUAAGUCCCGCAACGAGCGCAACCCACGUCUUUAGUUGCCAGCAUUCAGUUGGGCACUCUAGAGAGACCGCCGGUGAUAAACCGGAGGAAGGUGUGGAUGACGUCAAGUCAUCAUGCCCCUUACAUCCUGGGCUACACACGUACUACAAUGCUACGGACAAAGGGCAGCAAACUCGCGAGAGCUAGCAAAUCCCAUAAACCGUGGCUCAGUUCAGAUCGUAGGCUGCAACUCGCCUACGUGAAGGAGGAAUCGCUAGUAAUCGCAGGUCAGCAUACUGCGGUGAAUACGUUCCCGGGCCUUGUACACACCGCCCGUCACACCAUGGAAGUUGGCCAUGCCCGAAGUCGUUACUCCAACCCGUAAGGGAGGAGGACGCCGAAGGUGGGGCUGAUGACUGGGGUGAAGUCGUAACAAGGUAGCCGUACCGGAAGGUGCGGCUGGAUCACCUCCU